UACGUAGGGGGCUAGCGUUGUCCGGAAUCAUUGGGCGUAAAGCGCGUGUAGGCGGUCCGGUAAGUCCGCUGUGAAAGUCGGGGGCUCAACCCUCGAAUGCCGGUGGAUACUGUCGGGCUAGAGUGCGGAAGAGGCGAGUGGAAUUCCUGGUGUAGCGGUGAAAUGACGCAGAUAUCAGGAGGAACACCAAUUGCGAAGGCAGCUCGCUGGGACGUUACUGACGCUGAGACGCGAAAGCGUGGGGAGCAAACAGG
RNAcentral lists this ribosomal RNA (254 nucleotides) under uncultured bacterium. RNAcentral describes it as "partial 16S ribosomal RNA". It matches the Rfam family "Bacterial small subunit ribosomal RNA", at positions 524 to 776 of the family's 1533-position model. The record is from RNAcentral.